This 428-nucleotide ribosomal RNA is filed under the name uncultured bacterium. RNAcentral describes it as "bacterial SSU rRNA". It matches the Rfam family "Bacterial small subunit ribosomal RNA", at positions 354 to 796 of the family's 1533-position model. The record is from RNAcentral.
GUGGGGAAUAUUGGGCAAUGGGCGAAAGCCUGACCCAGCAACGCCGCGUGAAGGAAGAAGGCUUUCGGGUUGUAAACUUCUUUUCUUAGGGACGAAGCAAGUGACGGUACCUAAGGAAUAAGCCACGGCUAACUACGUGCCAGCAGCCGCGGUAAUACGUAGGUGGCAAGCGUUAUCCGGAUUUACUGGGUGUAAAGGGCGUGUAGGCGGGAAAGCAAGUCAGGCGUGAAAACUAUGGGCUCAACCCAUAGCCUGCGUUUGAAACUGUUUUUCUUGAGUGUCGGAGAGGUAAUCGGAAUUCCGUGUGUAGCGGUGAAAUGCGUAGAUAUACGGAGGAACACCAGUGGCGAAGGCGGAUUACUGGACGAUAACUGACGCUGAGGCGCGAAAGCGUGGGGAGCAAACAGGAUUAGAUACCCCAGUAGUCC